GGGAGGGAAACCACGGGCUGGAACCUGGGGUGCCCAUCACCACCCCCAAACAGAGAGAUCCCCAGGAAUAUCUGGGAGACGGCUAGGUCUGCUGCACGCACAGACAGUGCUCCGGUCCUCGGCUUGGUUACCAAGGGAACAGCACGCCAGAAAGGAAGGAGGCUGCUGGCCGUCCCCUGCGCUUUGUGACACUAAGCCAAGGCACAGUGAGCCACAUGUCUGUUCAGGCUCACUCUCCACUGGGCCUCCCAGGGCCACUGAGAAGCCAUGCCAACAGUCCCUUGGCAGUGCUGGGCUCCCGUGACCUCCUCAGGUCCUGGAGCCUGUACCCAAGUGCUCUGGACUGCGGAGUUCAGCACAAACACCACAACCUGGACCACUCCCCGUCCAGCCCCUCCGGCAUUCCCCCAGGUGCCCACCUGUGCUGUGGGGUGGUCAGGAGAAAGCGCUGGUACUUGUCCUCAGCUGAAGCUGCUAGCCCUCGACUAGGCCCAGCUAGCGCCAUGGGCCGAUGACAAACCCGAUUGCAGCCUCUGCAGCCUUGGUGUCACCUCUAGGUGAUGGAGUCACCCACAGAGCCAGCUAAGGGGUGUGGAUUUAGGAAGAGCUGUCCCGGACCUCGGAAGUUACUUGGAACAAAGUUCUUAAUAACUGUUAUGGCAUCAGAUCCGCCAUUUUAGUUCGGGAGCCAUUUUAUCCGGGGACUCCCGGGUCUCCUCAGGAGCCAUUUUAUCCGGGGACUCCCGGGUCUCCUCAGGAGCCAUUUUAUCUAGGGACUCUCGGGUCUCUUCAGGAGCCAUCUUAUCUAGGGACUCCCGGGUCUCCUCAGGAACCAUUCUAUUCAGGGUCUCCUGGGUCUCCUCAGGAGCCAUUUUAUCUGGAUCCUGAGGCAAUGCUGCUUGGCCUCCCGUAAGAACAUGUGCCUGCUCGAGGGUCGUCCCCACCCCAGCCCGUGACACAGCCCUAGCAUGCUUGUGAAAUUCCUCUUGCGGGCUCUGAAGCUGCCUGUGAGUGCCCACAGGCUGCUGCUCUCCUUGGAGGGACAGCCUUGGCCGUUUGUCUCCGUGGAUUCUGGCGUGGCGUGUCCUUGGACUCUGCGAGUGCCCUUUCAACUGCUACACUAGACACCUGGGAAGUGUGGGUUUGAUCAGUGAAAGGCGUAGUGACCUUUGGAAGACAACUUAGGGUGGACGGUGAACGUGGCACCCGUGGGGGUUCUGUGCUGGCUAGGCAGGCCACCCUGCCCUCUGUGUCUGUCCUCCCUCUCUCCAGGCACCCCCUGGGAGGAUGCUGCCUCCCUCGGCUGGAAUCCAACAUGGAGAUGGUUUGCACAGCCAGCAGGGCUCACACGGACCAUUGCAGGCCACUGCCCCCCUCCAGAACAAGGGAGCUUUGUCUCUUGUUUCCUCAGGAGGUCAAGGUCCACCAGAGGCUGGCGUGUGGGUGUUCUGUCUGGGGCAACUUUGCCCUGAAUGCGGCUUCAGUGCACAAUGCUGCCUACACCUCAGGCAAAUGCUCUGUCCUGAGCAGGGACGGGGCAGAAGGGGCUCCUGCAGCUCCCACCAACCAUGCGCCGCCCUUCAGCCAGAGGUCCCUGGCCUCAGCCCUAAGUCCAGUCCCUGAAAAACGAUUUUCUGUGGCAAAGCCAGGUGUCAACUGGACUCAGUGUGCCAGGGUAUGGAACGAGCCGUACUUGGCAGGCUGCUUCCCAGUAUGGCCCACACCAAGCUAAGAGCCCCACCAGAAGCUUCUCCCCAGAAACAAAGAGCACACGGUCCUUGUUGGCCAUUGCUGGAGGGUGUUGAGCAUUGGAACUUACUUUAUUUGGAAAGGGAGAUUUUGUGGCCAGUUUUUGUAGGCAGCUUGAAGGAUUUAUGAUUGACAGCUAGCAAUUACUUGAAGGGACACUGUCACCAAGGUAACUGUGCAGGAAACCAGGGCAGAGGGACUGUCUGCUGAGGCCUGCGUGCGGGGUGGGCUGUGUGGCUUAGCACCUACUCCCUUUGCUUGUUCACCAACCUGAGCCCCCCAGCAGGCAGAUUCUGAGGGGAAAGAAACCAGUUCUCACGGCAAAUGAAGAGCAGCCCCUGCUCCCAGACUGUGCCUUGAGUCAAAUCCUAGCUACACCCCCAGACCGCAGCCUCCUGCCCAGGUCCUGGCCUCCCCAGGCUGCUGUGGCGAAGUGGAGUCCUCCAGGACAGCUGCUGCUGGAAGACCCGCGUGUCCUCGGGGGUCCAGGAGCCAAGUGCUCAGGAGAGCUGGGGAGGCUGACCCCACCUAGAAAACCAAGCGACCCCAGGGCAUGGUGCUGUUAUGCUCGAAUUCGGGACCCCCAAAAGACCACCAGAGACCAAGAUCGAUGUAAGCAGCAAAGAGGUGUUUAUCGCGAGCUAGCUCGGUCCUCCACGCGCACACACAGCAACUGGUGACGCUGAGAGGCCCCGAGCCCAGGGUUUGCAGCAGUUUUAUACAUUCUUUGGAGAAGGCAGGGACUUCACAUACAUCAUAGCAUCUCUUAGCAAAUCAUCACACAACAACUCUUAACAUUUAUUAGCACAUUCAUGGCGGGAACAAGUUGGGUAGGGGUGAUUGGUUACUACAAGAGGAGGAUUCCUUUGAACUGAUUGGUUUAGGCCACGAGGGGAGAACGUGCUGAACUACGUGGUUUCCCAACACGUUAUCAACCACCAUAAACUACUGGGGGGUCAUCUGGCAUCCCAGGUAUUUCCCUGUCUCAUGCUGAUUGGUGGCUGCUAGGGGUCCCCACCUAGCCGGACUGAGUGACCCUAGCAGAUCUCUCCUGUUAUUUGUAGAUAAACAACUCAGCAGGGUGGGCGUGUGCCUAGGAGUGCUCUGGGGGUCUUUCCCAGGACCAGGUCACGCCCCUUCCUUGGACAGGUUUGGCUCUGGGGUAGAGGCUGGCCUUUCAGUACUUUGCCCAUCUCAGAAAGAAAAGCAGCGCUUUCCGCCAGCCGGCUGGGUGGGCCUCCCACAGCAUGGACACCCGCCCCCACCCUGCACCCCCACAUGUGCCUGCUUCCCUCUGUCCCACCUCAAAGCCCCCAGGGCACAGGGCCAUCGGCAGCUAGGAAUGGAACUGUCCCUGCCCCUCCCAGCUCUGUCAGUCCACUCUAGGGCUCAGCUGGACCGGCCUCCCAGGAAGGGUGGGUGCUGGGUUGGGUCCUUGCACCGGCUGCCGGCCCCGCCCCAGGACCAUGUGCCAGUGGCUUGUGGACUGUGUGGUGGCUUCAGAAUCACCUCCGGUCAUCUCACUCUCAGGGCUUGGUGCUCUGUCUGGGUCUGGGCUUCAGGCGUCUCUCUCCCUCCUCCUGCCUGGGCGGUGGCGGGAGGGCUGCCCACCGUCCUGAAGGCACAGACCCCAGCUGGGCUCCCACCUAACCCACGGCCCCACGUGUCCCGUCCACUGAGCGCAGCUCCUCCUCCCCGCAGGCCUGCCGUAGGGAUGAGGAUGGGCGGCCACCGGGGCUCCUGACACAGGGCUGAGUGCCAUCCAGGGGACCUGCCCUGGUCCCUGCUCCAGAGCCUGUGAGCGCUCUGCCGGUCGCCUUCGGCUCCUCGCCCCUUGUCUCCAGGGAAGAGCCCGCCUUCCUGAGGGCCGGAGCCAUGCUGGGACGGCUCUUCCUCAGCAGCCGGCCUGGGCUGGACAGUAAGGGUGCACUCAGGGAAGCCCCCCCCUGCUGGCCUCCAGGUCAAGGGAUGCCCGGGAGGCCUCUGUCCCUUUCUUUCUUCCAUGUGUGCACCUCUGAGACCUGGCUUGUCCCUUCUCUGGAUGAGAGUGCAGGGAGGCGAGGCCUCUGUCCAGCCCUCCUGCUGGCUGGCCGCCCAGGGAGGGGAGGAGGUUGACUGCAGCUAGUGGCCUGCUCUGACGUUUCCUUGAAAUCACUGCUUGUGUGUGUGUGUGUGUGUGUGUGUGUGUGGUGUGAGAUGAAAUCACUGCUUGUGUGUGUGUGUGUGUGUGUGUGUGGUGUGAGAUGAAAUCACUGCUUGUGUGUGUGUGUGUGUGUGUGGUGUGAGAUGCGCAUUUCUCGAUCAAGUGUUAAGCAGAUUCUCUUGGGAGUCAGAAGCGUCACUGUGCUGCUGGACUGGCGUGGACCACGGCCAGGCAGGGUCACACGGGCCAGGCGGGGUCACACCGGUCAGCCUGGUGAGCCAGGAGGGCCCACUGGGGUGCUCUGCGAGGCCCGCCCUGCUCCAGCACCGGCUGAGGGGAAGGUGACACUCCAGCCGCUCCUUCAGUCACUGCUCGGGGGACAGCUCAGAGAGGUGCAGCAGGAGUAAGUGGGAGGAGCAGCAGAUGGGCACUCAGAGAACCAGGAAGAUGUGGAGGGCAGGCUGUCCUGCUGUGUGCGGCCGAAGACCCCGAAGGCAGCCCCUCCCGCUGUCCACAGCCUCCCAGGAACACCCGCCCCCUGUCCCCUUCCCUGCUGAUGGCUCUCAGGCUCCGAGGACCCUCUGCAUUUCCCAGAGACAGAGGCAGCCCAUGACCUUGAACACGGCUCUCUUGGGUGCCCUCCCCAGAGCCAGAGCACGUGAGCCUCUGUCCCCUCCUCCGCACCUGCCAGGCAGAUUGUCCACCUCAGUCGAGGUGCUCUGAGCAGCUGGACCUGACUGUGCCCACUCAUUAAAGGGGCAGCAACGGCCCACGCUGGUCUCCUUUCCCCCUUGAUGACAGCACUGGGCGGACCUGGUAGGAGACGUGAUGGGGUCAGGUAAGCAGCUGGCAGGAGGGGCCAGCCACAGAACUGGCACGUGGCCCGCGGAAGCACUCCUUCCUCCACGGGGCACCGCAGUGGCCAGGACCGGGGCACCUGCUGCUGGGUCAGGUGGCCCUGCCCACUCACCGUGGGAGACGCUGGGGCUGCCCUGCUCGUGGGUGGACGGUUCAGGGCCUGGCAGUUUUGCUUCCCCGUCACAUCGCACUGUUGAAUAAGGCGCCCGAUACGUGAGCAAGAGGCUUUGGGUCCCUGUCUGCUGUCAUCAAGAGGCGAUGAGGUCACCAGGAACAGCAGGGGCCUUGCAGGGCAGAGGACACGGUCACGUCAGGAGGAGGAGUCUGGUCCUGGCUGCACCUUCCCCUGACACCCCCGCAUCUUGUGCUGGAAAGUGUCUGCCCUGGAGGAAAGGCAGGUGGGGGCAUAACAGGAAGUUGGACUGCUUCCUCUUCCUGGCUGGGCAGCUUCCUGGCUGCCUUGUUCCUGGUCGGUUCACAGCAUGAGCAACCAGACCCUGCUUUAUGGAGAGGAUUCGGGUUGGCCCAACACCCCAGGGAAGCCCUCACUUCUCGGGCAUAGUCUCCAGCCCUGGGGUCUGUCUCUGGGGGUCCUGCCAUUCUCACCUGGACCAGGUCAGCCUGCAGCUCCUCCCCUGAUGGAGGUGACCUGGAGUCUGUGGGCGUGCAGCUCGAGCCCCGGAGACCCCUGCCCAUGAAGACUGACAGACCAAGGGGUCACGUCUGGGCAUCAGGGUUCCCAGGCUCCCGAGAGCCAGCUGCUGUGGCCAAACCCAAGCUCCGUGCACAGGAAUGAAGCUGAGGUCCUCCUGGCCACACUUCCCACAGGGACCCAGAACCUGGCACAGCCCCGAGGGCAACCUAGGGAGGAGCGGGAGCUCUUGUCCCCAUAACUUCGGGGCUACGUGAGCUCACAAUGCAGCUCCUCCCGACCCUGCUGGUGAGGCUCAGGCCAGGAGAGUUUCUCCCCAGGGCACAGAUCUCAGCCAGGCCUGGGAUUUUCUGUGGACUUGGCCGCUGCCACCAUCCCACGGGGACGUUCUCUGCAGACUUGGCUUUCAUGGACCACUUAGGCACACAUCAGAUGACUGGGUCAAUAGCAAAUGAGAGCUUUAGCUAGGAAACCACUUCCUGUGGUUCUGAAGAUGCCUUUUUGACACCUGCUCGGCAGAGAUGCCCCUGUGGACUCUGCAUCACCACUUGCUGCCACCAUGCUGCCCAGGUGGCUGCCCAGGUGGAAGAGAUUUCUCAGCUCUGAGUCAGUAUCGCCCCAGGUUCCUGCAGCUCCUGGCUCCCAGCCACCCGCUGACAAGGCCAAGGGCCUUGGAUCCCACCAGCUCCAUCAGGGAAGGCGUGGAGAGACUGGGAGGGACUCCACGCGGGCAGCUUCAGGCUGGCCCUGGCUUGGGGAGGCCAGGACUGGAGGCUCCUCCUCUCCUUUCAUCAGGGUUACCUCCCACCUUGCCAGCGGCUCUUGUCUGAGAUCCCCUUCUAGGACUAAUUCACGCUCUGCUCUUGGUAAGGAAACUAACGCUGAGUCAUCCCCAAUGUCAAGACGAGAAACAAGGAGAAGCCCUGUUCAUGCAGCUUACUGUCGCAGCUUGUUUCCCAGCUGCUGUCUGCCUUUGGGACCCUCCAGGCCACCCCCUCAAGUGGACACUCUUGACAUAUUCACCCCUGACCCCAGGGGCAGGGGAGGAGCUACCUGAGUGGCUGUUCUAGAAGCUGACCUCUGUCAACUGAGCAGAAGCACUAAACAGGAACUCAGCAAAGCCACCGCCAGGCCUCAGAGAAUCAGGCUCCACCAAGCGGGGUCUACACUCAACAAGUACCGCCUUCCUGAAAGAGGACCAAGGUUUACAGACAGCCCCCUGAACCGCCAGACCACCCGGCCGGCCUGCUCAGCAGGUCAGCAUGGGAGUUGUAAGUGCUCAGCCUGCGGCUGGCCUCAAGGGACAGUGUGAUGGGAUCCUAGGGAACAGGCGUCUUCACGGGGAACCUGGCAGUAAUCAGGGGGAAACAGGCCUGAAGAGAAGGUCCCGUUUAGCCAAGAAUGAAAGGAGAACACCCAGAGGGGGCCAUAGAACCCUUCUUAAGUAGGCAAGACAGGGGAAGAGGGG
Molecule: long non-coding RNA, 6870 nt
Filed under: Marmota monax (woodchuck)
Lineage: Eukaryota; Metazoa; Chordata; Mammalia; Rodentia; Sciuridae
Source: RNAcentral